RNAcentral lists this ribosomal RNA (1375 nucleotides) under uncultured bacterium. RNAcentral describes it as "bacterial SSU rRNA". It matches the Rfam family "Bacterial small subunit ribosomal RNA", at positions 26 to 1381 of the family's 1533-position model. The record is from RNAcentral.
GCAUGAACGCUGGCGCCGUGCCUCAUACAUGCAACUCGAGCGAGCGGACCACAAUGCUUGCUUCUCUGAUGUCACCGACGGACGGGCUGACUAACACGUGGAUAACCUACCUAUAAAACUGGGAUAACUUCCGGACACCGGAGCUAAUACCGGCUAAUCUUUUGAACCGCAUGGUUCACAAGUGAACUACGGUCUUGCUGUCACUUAUAGAUGGCACCUGCGCUGCUUUAGCUAGUUGGUACGGUAACCGCUUACCAAGGCCACGAUGCCUACCCGACCUGAGAGGGUGAUCGGCCCCACUGGAACUGAUACACGCUCCAGACUCCUACGGGAGGCAGCAGUAGGGAAUCUUCCGCAAUGGGCGAAAGCCUGACGGAGCAACGCCGCGUGAGUGAUGAACGUCUUCGGAUCGUAAAACUCUGUUCUUAGGGAAGAACAUAUGUGUACGUAACUGUGCACAUCUUGACGGUACCUACCCAGAAAGCCACGGUUACCUACGUGUCAGCAGCCGCGGUACUACGUAGGUGGCAAGCGUUAUCCGGAAUUAUUGGGCGUAAAGCGCGCGUAGCGGUUUUUUAAGUCUGAUGUGAAAGCCCACGGCUCAACUGUGGAGGGUCAUUGGAAACUGGAAAACUUGAGUGCAGAAGAGGAAAGUGGAAUUCCAUGUGUAGCGGUGAAAUGCGCAGAGAUAUGGAGGAACACCAGUGGCGAAGGCGACUUUCUGGUCUGUAACUGACGCUGAUGUGCGAAAGCGUGGGGAUCAAACAGGAUUAGAUACCCUGGUAGUCCACGCCGUAAACGAUGAGUGCUAAGUGUUAGGGGGUUUCCGCCCCUUAGUGCUGCAGCUAACGCAUUAAGCACUCCGCCUGGGGAGUACGACCGCAAGGUUGAAACUCAAAGGAAUUGACGGGGACCCGCACAAGCGGUGGAGCAUGUGGUUUAAUUCGAAGCAACGCGAAGAACCUUACCAAAUCUUGACAUCCUUUGACAACUCUAGAGAUAGAGCUUUCCCCUUCGGGGGACAAAGUGACAGGUGGUGCAUGGUUGUCGUCAGCUCGUGUCGUGAGAUGUUGGGUUAAGUCCCGCAACGAGCGCAACCCUUAAGCUUAGUUGCCAUCAUUAAGUUGGGCACUCUAAGUUGACUGCCGGUGACAAACCGGAGGAAGGUGGGGAUGACGUCAAAUCAUCAUGCCCCUUAUGAUUUGGGCUACACACGUGGUACAAUGGGCAGUCCAAAGGCGAGGGAGACCGAGAGGUCAAGCAAAUCCCGUAGAGUGGUUCUCAGUUCGGAUUGUAGUCGGCAGCUGGAGUACAUGAAGGUGGAAUCGGUAGUAAUCGUAGAUGAGCAUGCGACGGUGAAUACGUUCCCGGGUGU